UACGAAGGGGCUAGCGUUGUUCGGAAUCACUGUGCGUAAAGCGCACGUAGGCGGAUUUGCCAGUCAGGGGUGAAAUCCCGGGGCUCAACCUCGGAACUGCCUUUGAUACAGCAAGUCUAGAGUCCGGAAGAGGUGAGUGGAAUUCCUAGUGUAGAGGUGAAAUUCGUAGAUAUUAGGAGGAACACCAGUGGCGAAGGCGGCUCACUGGUCCGGCACUGACGCUGAGGUGCGAAAGCGUGGGGAGCAAACAGGAUUAGAUACCCGGGUAGUCCCU
Molecule: ribosomal RNA, 274 nt
Filed under: uncultured prokaryote
Description: partial 16S ribosomal RNA
Rfam family: Bacterial small subunit ribosomal RNA
Source: RNAcentral